This 333-nucleotide unclassified non-coding RNA is filed under the name uncultured fungus. RNAcentral's name for it is "partial contains small subunit ribosomal RNA, internal transcribed spacer 1, and 5.8S ribosomal RNA". The stretch from base 1 to 73 matches the Rfam family "Eukaryotic small subunit ribosomal RNA", at positions 1759 to 1831 of the family's 1831-position model. Lineage: Eukaryota; Fungi. The record is from RNAcentral.
GCAAACUUGGUCAUUUAGAGGAAGUAAAAGUCGUAACAAGGUUACCGUAGGUGAACCUGCGGUAGGAUCAUUAUCAAAUUAUCCAAACCAUUUUUUUAAUGGAAAAUCCAUUAAAAAAAAUAAUUCAUCUUUGUGUGGAUUAUAUAGAAGAAGUUUAAAGGAAAAAAAUAGGAACAAUUUUUUUUUUAAAAGUUGUCCUAUUUUUUUCUCUUCUUCAAAACAUUUAUAAACUCGUCUUACUUUUUUUGUCUGACAAAAACGAUAAAAUUAAUAAAAAAUAAUACAACUUUCAACAACGGAUCUCUUGGUUCUCGCAUCGAUGAAGAACGCAGC